GAAAUCAACAUUUUGCCCAAAUCUGACCCAAAGAUCCCCACAAACUGGACAAAUUGCGACGUGGGCGGUUCCGGCUGAUGCCAGCCAGGCAGUAUGGAAUCUAACAACUCCCGACGCAGCCUCAGCAUCAUGUAGCCGGUCUCUUCCGCUGGUAAAUCCGAACUUCAAUUUCUGACAAGCUGCAGCAGAGACACUUUCUGUGUGAACGUUGAUGCUCUUUUAACGGCUCCUGUUUUGUCCAAGCCCAAGGAAGUUUUGUCUAAAAGGUUUGGUAAUGUGCUUUAUGUUCCUGUUCACCC
This is a long non-coding RNA of Syngnathus typhle (broad-nosed pipefish), 299 nucleotides long. RefSeq lists it as uncharacterized. Lineage: Eukaryota; Metazoa; Chordata; Actinopteri; Syngnathiformes; Syngnathidae. The transcript is spliced from 3 exons. The record is from RefSeq and is a predicted model, not a curated record.